This 497-nucleotide ribosomal RNA is filed under the name uncultured bacterium. Its description in RNAcentral is "partial 16S ribosomal RNA". It matches the Rfam family "Bacterial small subunit ribosomal RNA", at positions 28 to 507 of the family's 1533-position model. The record is from RNAcentral.
GAUGAACGCUGGCGGCGUGCCUAAUACAUGCAAGUCGAGCGAACGGACGAGAAGCUUGCUUCUCUGAUGUUAGCGGCGGACGGGUGAGUAACACGUGGAUAACCUACCUAUAAGACUGGGAUAACUUCGGGAAACCGGAGCUAAUACCGGAUAAUAUUUUGAACCGCAUGGUUCAAAAGUGAAAGACGGUCUUGCUGUCACUUAUAGAUGGAUCCGCGCUGCAUUAGCUAGUUGGUAAGGUAACGGCUCACCAAGGCAACGAUGCAUAGCCGACCUGAGAGGGUGAUCGGCCACACUGGAACUGAGACACGGUCCGGACUCCUACGGGAGGCAGCAGUAGGGAAUCUUCCGCAAUGGGCGAAAGCCUGACGGAGCAACGCCGCGUGAGUGAUGAAGGUCUUCGGAUCGUAAAACUCUGUUAUUAGGGAAGAACAUAUGUGUAAGUAACUGUGCACAUCUUGACGGUACCUAAUCAGAAAGCCACGGCUAACUACGUG